AGUGAACGCUGGCGGUAGGCCUAACACAUGCAAGUCGAACGGCAGCACAGUAAGAGCUUGCCCUUACGGGUGGCGAGUGGCGGACGGGUGAGGAAUACAUCGGAAUCUACUUUUUCGUGGGGGAUAACGUAGGGAAACUUACGCUAAUACCGCAUACGACCUACGGGUGAAAGCAGGGGAUCUUCGGACCUUGCGCGAUUGAUUGAGCCGAUGUCGGAUUAGCUAGUUGGCGGGGUAAAGGCCCACCAAGGCGACGAUCCGUAGCUGGUCUGAGAGGAGGAUCAGCCACACUGGAACUGAGACACGGUCCAGACUCCUACGGGAGGCAGCAGCGGGAAUAUUGGACAAUGGGCGCAAGCCUGAUCCAGCCAUACCGCGUGGGUGAAGAAGGCCUUCGGGUUGUAAAGCCCUUUUGUUGGGAAAGAAAAGCAGCAGGUUAAUACCCCGCUGUUCUGACGGUACCCAAAGAAUAAGCACCGGCUAACUUCGUG
Molecule: ribosomal RNA, 491 nt
Filed under: uncultured bacterium
Lineage: Bacteria
Description: partial 16S ribosomal RNA
Rfam family: Bacterial small subunit ribosomal RNA
Source: RNAcentral